This 253-nucleotide ribosomal RNA is filed under the name uncultured bacterium. RNAcentral describes it as "partial 16S ribosomal RNA". It matches the Rfam family "Bacterial small subunit ribosomal RNA", at positions 524 to 776 of the family's 1533-position model. The record is from RNAcentral.
UACGGAGGGGACUAGCGUUGUUCGGAAUUACUGGGCGUAAAGCGCACGUAGGCGGAUUUGUAAGUCAGGGGUGAAAUCCCGGGGCUCAACCCCGGAACUGCCUUUGAUACUGCGAAUCUCGAGUCCGGAAGAGGUGAGUGGAAUUCCUAGUGUAGAGGUGAAAUGCGUAGAGAUCAGGAGGAACACCUGUGGUGUAGACAGCUUACUGGACGGUCACUGACGCUGAGGCACGAAAGCGUGGGUAGCAAACAGG